UCAAGAGAUAGUUUAAUUAAAAUAUUAAUUUUGGGGAUUAAUGACAAAGAAUUUUCUUUUCUCUUGAA
RNAcentral lists this transfer RNA (68 nucleotides) under Hydrotaea unicidentata. RNAcentral's name for it is "tRNA-Pro". Lineage: Eukaryota; Metazoa; Arthropoda; Insecta; Diptera; Muscidae. The record is from RNAcentral.